UACUCUUGGACAGCCUUCUGAAAGGAAGAUUAAUACAAGAUGGCAUCAUGAGUCCGCAUGUUCACAUGAUUAAAGGUAUUCCGGUAGACGAUGGGGAUGCGUUCCAUUAGAUAGUAGGCGGGGUAACGGCCCACCUAGUCUUCGAUGGAUAGGGGUUCUGAGAGGAAGGUCCCCCACAUUGGAACUGAGACACGGUCCAAACUCCUACGGGAGGCAGCAGUGAGGAAUAUUGGUCAAUGGGCGAGAGCCUGAACCAGCCAAGUAGCGUGAAGGAUGACUGCCCUAUGGGUUGUAAACUUCUUUUAUAAAGGAAUAAAGUCGGGUAUGCAUACCCGUUUGCAUGUACUUUAUGAAUAAGGAUCGGCUAACUCCGUGCCAGCAGCCGCGGUAAUACGGAGGAUUCGAGCGUUAUCCGGAUUUAUUGGGUUUAAAGGGAGCGUAGAUGGAUGUUUAAGUCAGUUGUGAAAGUUUGCGGCUCAACCGUAAAAUUGCAGUUGAUACUGGAUAUCUUGAGUGCAGUUGAGGCAGGCGGAAUUC
Molecule: ribosomal RNA, 537 nt
Filed under: uncultured Bacteroidales bacterium
Lineage: Bacteria; Pseudomonadati; Bacteroidota; Bacteroidia; Bacteroidales
Description: bacterial SSU rRNA
Rfam family: Bacterial small subunit ribosomal RNA
Source: RNAcentral